RNAcentral lists this ribosomal RNA (417 nucleotides) under uncultured bacterium. RNAcentral's name for it is "bacterial SSU rRNA". It matches the Rfam family "Bacterial small subunit ribosomal RNA", at positions 958 to 1375 of the family's 1533-position model. The record is from RNAcentral.
AACGCGAAGAACCUUACCUGGUCUUGACAUCCACAGAACUUUCCAGAGAUGGAUUGGUGCCUUCGGGAACUGUGAGACAGGUGCUGCAUGGCUGUCGUCAGCUCGUGUUGUGAAAUGUUGGGUUAAGUCCCGCAACGAGCGCAACCCUUAUCCUUUGUUGCCAGCGGUCCGGCCGGGAACUCAAAGGAGACUGCCAGUGAUAAACUGGAGGAAGGUGGGGAUGACGUCAAGUCAUCAUGGCCCUUACGACCAGGGCUACACACGUGCUACAAUGGCAUAUACAAAGAGAAGCGACCUCGCGAGAGCAAGCAGACCUCAUAAAGUAUGUCGUAGUCCGGAUUGGAGUCUGCAACUCGACUCCAUGAAGUCGGAAUCGCUAGUAAUCGUAGAUCAGAAUGCUACGGUGAAUACGUUCCC